UAGGGAAUCUUCGGCAAUGGACGGAAGUCUGACCGAGCAACGCCGCGUGAGUGAAGAAGGUUUUCGGAUCGUAAAGCUCUGUUGUAAGAGAAGAACGAGUGUGAGAGUGGAAAGUUCACACUGUGACGGUAUCUUACCAGAAAGGGACGGCUAACUACGUGCCAGCAGCCGCGGUAAUACGUAGGUCCCGAGCGUUGUCCGGAUUUAUUGGGCGUAAAGCGAGCGCAGGCGGUUAGAUAAGUCUGAAGUUAAAGGCUGUGGCUUAACCAUAGUACGCUUUGGAAACUGUUUAACUUGAGUGCAAGAGGGGAGAGUGGAAUUCCAUGUGUAGCGGUGAAAUGCGUAGAGAUCUGGAGGAAUACCGGUGGCGAAGGCGGCCCCCUGGACAAAGACUGACGCUCAGGUGCGAAAGCGUGGGGAGCAAACAGGAUUAGAUACCCUGGUAGUCCACGCUGUAAACGAUGUCGAUUUGGAGGUUGUGCCCUUGAGGCGUGGCUUCCGGAGCUAACGCGUUAAAUCGACCGCCUGGGGAGUACGGCCGCAAGGUUA
RNAcentral lists this ribosomal RNA (549 nucleotides) under uncultured bacterium. RNAcentral describes it as "bacterial SSU rRNA". It matches the Rfam family "Bacterial small subunit ribosomal RNA", at positions 355 to 896 of the family's 1533-position model. The record is from RNAcentral.